Molecule: ribosomal RNA, 373 nt
Filed under: uncultured marine eukaryote
Lineage: Eukaryota
Description: SSU rRNA
Rfam family: Eukaryotic small subunit ribosomal RNA
Source: RNAcentral
UUAAAAAGCUCGUAGUUGAAUUUCUGGUCAAUCGUAGUCUUGGCUUCGGUCGGGCUAUGGUUGGUCAUCCGUUUGCAAGCUGCACUCGGCCUUCACUGGUUCGGUGUAGUGAGCUGACAUUUUACUUUGAAAAAAUUAGAGUGUUUCAGGCAGGCUUUUGCCCGAAUACAUUAGCAUGGAAUAAUGGAAUUGGACUCCGGUUCAUUUGGUUGGUUAUUGGAUCUGAGUAAUGGUUAAUAGGGACAGUUGGGGGCAUUAGUAUUUAAUUGUCAGAGGUGAAAUUCUUGGAUUUAUUAAAGACUAACUUAUGCGAAAGCAUUUGCCAAGGAUGUUUUCAUUAAUCAAGAACGAAAGUUAGGGGAUAAAGAUGAUC